This 429-nucleotide ribosomal RNA is filed under the name Gemmatimonadota bacterium. RNAcentral's name for it is "Gemmatimonadetes bacterium partial 16S ribosomal RNA". It matches the Rfam family "Bacterial small subunit ribosomal RNA", at positions 355 to 776 of the family's 1533-position model. The record is from RNAcentral. Lineage: Bacteria; Pseudomonadati; Gemmatimonadota.
UAGGGAAUCUUCGGCAAUGGACGAAAGUCUGACCGAGCAACGCCGCGUGAGUGAAGAAGGUUUUCGGAUCGUAAAACUCUGUUGUUAGAGAAGAACAAGGACGUUAGUAACUGAACGUCCCCUGACGGUAUCUAACCAGAAAGCCACGGCUAACUACGUGCCAGCAGCCGCGGUAAUACGUAGGUGGCAAGCGUUGUCCGGAUUUAUUGGGCGUAAAGCGAGCGCAGGCGGUUUCGUAAGUCUGAUGUGAAAGCCCCCGGCUCAACCGGGGAGGGUCAAUGGAAACGGGGAGAAUUGAGGGCAGAAGAGGAGAGUGGAAGUGCAUGGGGAGCGGUGAAAUGCGGAGAUAGAUGGAGGAACACCAGGGGCGAAGGCGGCUAGCUGGUCUGUAACUGAGGGGGAGGAUAGAAAGCGUGGGGAGCAAACAGG